Long non-coding RNA from Neofelis nebulosa (Clouded leopard), 397 nucleotides. RefSeq lists it as uncharacterized. The transcript is spliced from 2 exons. Lineage: Eukaryota; Metazoa; Chordata; Mammalia; Carnivora; Felidae. The record is from RefSeq and is a predicted model, not a curated record.
CACCCCUAGAGGUCUAAGUUUUAUAGACGUUGUUGGUUUAAAAUGUUGGAAAGUGGUGAACACUCAGCAAUGGGCUUAUAGUAAGGAAUGAUACCUACAGUGGUUGGCAUAAAAUUCCAGCGACUGUUCAAAGAAUUCUGAAUACCUAUAUUGCUGUGGAAAGGUACUGAGGCCACUAAUCACACUCCUCUUAUCAUCCUUUGCCAAGGUCUCCUGGUCAUGAGGAUACUGCAUAGAGAAGUCUGAGCCCUGGACUAUGCACAAGUGGAAAAGAUCCCAAAGGCAAGAACAGCAACCCUCUCACCUAGUCAGCCGGCAGAGAAGAUAGUAAAUGCCAAAUGAACACUGCAAAGAGAAAAUAAAGAGGAUACUCUCAACUCGUUUUACUUUAAAUUAC